Molecule: long non-coding RNA, 1521 nt
Filed under: Apteryx owenii (little spotted kiwi)
Lineage: Eukaryota; Metazoa; Chordata; Aves; Apterygiformes; Apterygidae
Description: lncRNA (ENSAOWG00000000986.1)
Source: RNAcentral
CUUUAUGUAUAUGUGUGCACAAGCAUGUGUAUAUAUGCAUAUAUCCAUAUAUGCACAUCCACAGACACAUAUAAACAAUAUGUAUAUAUACACAUGUGUAUACACACACACACACAAACCCCUAAAUUCUCCACUUUUGUCUGCAGUAUGUUUUGUCCUGCAGCCGUUUUUCUAGACGAAUCUCUUCGUGUCAGGUGUCACUAGGUAUCCCAACAGCUCGGUAGGAAACUAUGCGCGGAGGCUCCAGGAGCUAUUCUGGCCGCAGAGGCAGCAGCGCCAGGGGAGCGCGAGGUGCCUGCCGGCACAGCGGGGCAGCCGCGCCGAGCAGCGGCAGCGGCAGCGGCAGGUCCUCCCCGCGCCCCGCGCCCCGCGCCCGCCGCCGCCGCAGGAAACAAACUCCGGAACCGGCGGCCUCCUCUUCACGAGCGGCGCGAGCGACGGCAGCGGUCCCGGGCCGGCACAGGUCCCGGGCCGGCACAGAAUUAGAGAUUCUGCAGACCCUUAAGGUACAGGAACAUUAACAGCAAAAUCCCCGUUUCUGCCAGACCUUCGGAAAUUCCAAUAGAAGGAGCCAAGUCUACAUUUCCUAACUCUUCUGGUAAGAAAAAAAAAAAAAAGGAAAUGCAUCUGGUUCUUCAUGAAUUAGCUAGAAAGAAUCAGGGAAGUAUCCUGUAAUGCUUUUCUAUUCCUGAAAGCCACGAAUACAAAGUAAAGAAAACCGAAACCAGUAACUACUUUUACUUUCAUUUCUACACACACACAAUUUCAUAGGAAUGUACUGUACAGAAUGCCAAAAUUGCAUUGCUUUUGGAUCACAAAUUGCCUUCAGAUAACAGUAAGUGCCUAAUCAGAACAAUACAACACAUCACACAGCUGUGCUUACCUUUUUUCUUUUUACAGGAAGAUAAUGCUUCACAGUGGAAUCAUAUCCUUCCUCAUUCCCCAAGCAGAUAAUCCACUGUAUGAUGAAGCCCACUUAUCUUAAAGAUGACAGCCGUAAGAGAACUGAAAUUUGGAUGACUGCCCAGCAUAGAGGAUGGCCAUAAAGUCCAGGGGCUAUUUGCUGCUUUUCCAAAGAAGCAGUCCAAGUUCCUUUCAGCAGCUGAAUUCUCUGCCACUUCCAGAGCCUACUGAAGGAUAAAACUCCAAAUUAAAAACAAUCUGAUAAUAUAAUGUUUCUUUCCUGUGAUAAUAUUUCUUUACAAAACAUAACAGUAGUAACAUCUCUCCUAUAACCUUCCCAAAACAAAGCAACCCCAAAAUAAGAAUACUUACUCAGGACAUUAGUCUAUUGAAGAACCAGAAUAUACUCUGGGCUGCUGUGAGAACAGUUUAGCAGUGAAUACAUUUACAGAGUGCAAUACUGUAUAAAGAAAAUUCAAAACUAAUCAAAGGCUGCAUGCCCAGGGCACAAAUGUGUAACUGUAGGAUACAUUGGACAUGCAAACCUCUUUGGUCCUUGUGCCGUAAGGACCAAGUACUGCCAUUCACAGUACAUCAGCCAAAAUUUUGUAGGGGGCC